This 890-nucleotide ribosomal RNA is filed under the name Bacillus aerophilus. RNAcentral's name for it is "bacterial SSU rRNA". It matches the Rfam family "Bacterial small subunit ribosomal RNA", at positions 490 to 1348 of the family's 1533-position model. Lineage: Bacteria; Bacillati; Bacillota; Bacilli; Caryophanales; Bacillaceae. The record is from RNAcentral.
GCCAGGGCUACUUACUUCCCGCACCCCCCGUUAUUACGUAGGUUGCCAGGUUUUUCGGAAUAUUGGGCGUAAAGGGCUUGCAGCCCGUUUCUUAAGUCUGAUGUGAAAGCCCCCCGCUCAACCGGGGAGGGUCUUUGGAAACUGGGAAACUUGAGUGCAGAAGAGGAGAGUGGAAUUCCACGUGUAGCGGUGAAAUGCGUAGAGAUGUGGAGGAACACCAGUGGCGAAGGCGACUCUCUGGUCUGUAACUGCGCUGAGGAGCGAAAGCGUGGGGAGCGAACAGGAUUAGAUACCCUGGUAGUCCACGCCGUAAACGAUGAGUGCUAAGUGUUAGGGGGUUUCCGCCCCUUAUUGCUGCAGCUAACGCAUUAAGCACUCCGCCUGGGGAGUACGGUCGCAAGACUGAAACUCAAAGGAAUUGACGGGGGCCCGCACAAGCGGUGGAGCAUGUGGUUUAAUUCGAAGCAACGCGAAGAACCUUACCAGGUCUUGACAUCCUCUGACAACCCUAGAGAUAGGGCUUUCCCUUCGGGGACAGAGUGACAGGUGGUGCAUGGUUGUCGUCAGCUCGUGUCGUGAGAUGUUGGGUUAAGUCCCGCAACGAGCGCAACCCUUGAUCUUAGUUGCCAGCAUUCAGUUGGGCACUCUAAGGUGACUGCCGGUGACAAACCGGAGGAAGGUGGGGAUGACGUCAAAUCAUCAUGCCCCUUAUGACCUGGGCUACACACGUGCUACAAUGGACAGAACAAAGGGCUGCGAGACCGCAAGGUUUAGCCAAUCCCACAAAUCUGUUCUCAGUUCGGAUCGCAGUCUGCAACUCCAAUCCACAAACCCCAAACACUAACACUCAAACUGGCGCCGUCUAGCAGGCGUCUGCCCAAAAAUAAAUG